AGAGUUUGAUUAUGGCUCAGGAUGAACGCUAGCUACAGGCUUAACACAUGCAAGUCGAGGGGUAGCAGGAUCUAGCAAUAGAUUGCUGACGACCGGCGCACGGGUGAGUAACACGUAUCCAACCUUCCGUUUACUCGGGGAUAGCCUUUCGAAAGAAAGAUUAAUACCCGAUAGUAUGCUUUUCCCGCAUGGGAGAAUCAUUAAAGUUUUUCGGUAAUCGAUGGGGAUGCGUUCCAUUAGGCAGUUGGUGAGGUAACGGCUCACCAAACCUUCGAUGGAUAGGGGUUCUGAGAGGAAGGUCCCCCACAUUGGAACUGAGACACGGUCCAAACUCCUACGGGAGGCAGCAGUGAGGAAUAUUGGUCAAUGGACGGGAGUCUGAACCAGCCAAGUAGCCGUGAAGGAUGACUGCCCUAUGGGUUGUAAACUUCUUUUAUAUGGGAAUAAAGGAGCCUACGUGUAGGUUUUUGUAUGUACCAUACGAAUAAGGAUCGGCUAACUCCGUGCCAGCCGCCGC
This 517-nucleotide ribosomal RNA is filed under the name uncultured bacterium. Its description in RNAcentral is "bacterial SSU rRNA". It matches the Rfam family "Bacterial small subunit ribosomal RNA", at positions 8 to 518 of the family's 1533-position model. The record is from RNAcentral.